RNAcentral lists this ribosomal RNA (497 nucleotides) under uncultured bacterium. RNAcentral's name for it is "partial 16S ribosomal RNA". It matches the Rfam family "Bacterial small subunit ribosomal RNA", at positions 28 to 507 of the family's 1533-position model. The record is from RNAcentral.
GAUGAACGCUGGCGGCGUGCCUAAUACAUGCAAGUCGAGCGAACAGACGAGGAGCUUGCUCCUCUGACGUUAGCGGCGGACGGGUGAGUAACACGUGGAUAACCUACCUAUAAGACUGGGAUAACUUCGGGAAACCGGAGCUAAUACCGGAUAAUAUAUUGAACCGCAUGGUUCAAUAGUGAAAGACGGUUUUGCUGUCACUUAUAGAUGGAUCCGCGCCGCAUUAGCUAGUUGGUACGGUAACGGCUUACCAAGGCAACGAUGCGUAGCCGACCUGAGAGGGUGAUCGGCCACACUGGAACUGAGACACGGUCCAGACUCCUACGGGAGGCAGCAGUAGGGAAUCUUCCGCAAUGGGCGAAAGCCUGACGGAGCAACGCCGCGUGAGUGAUGAAGGUCUUCGGAUCGUAAAACUCUGUUACUAGGGAAGAACAAAUGUGUAAGUAACUAUGCACGUCUUGACGGUACCUAAUCAGAAAGCCACGGCUAACUACGUG